AUUAUGCUCUUAUCUUUAAAUCCAUUUGUUGGAUUAUGUGUUGCCUUGUACUUAUUAAAUUAUGUUUAAGUGUUGCAUUAUCUCUCUUCUUAAAAAAAAUCAUCAAACAACCUCAUUUUGAAUGAAUCUGUCACAUAGGUUGUGAGGGAAAGUGGAGCGCAGCAGAAGAAUGCUUCAAAUGAAGUCAUCUUAAUAGAAGUGAUAACAUGUAUUGCAUUUGUUUGGGGAUGGUGGGAAUGGUGAGAAAGAACUAAUAAAAACCGAUGUAGUUCACAAAGAUACUACCAGUUCUUUGAAAGCUCACUUGAUCAACAAAGGACUGUUGUGGGCAACCUUGUCUCAAAUACACACGAGAAGUUAACAAACACUAACUGAAAAAGAGAGACAAGAUCUUGGUCCUACAGACAUAUUAUUUGAGGCUCUAAAUCUCCCAAACUAUCCUGGGCGUGUUAGGAGGCUCUAAAUCCUGGUGCUGUUUUGUUAUUCUUUCUUGUUUUUUUAGGUGUUUUGUUUAGAGAAUAUGAUUUUUUGCUUUAGGAUUUAGAUUAAAGUACUCUUGGAAUGUAUGCAUAUACAAAUUUUUUCUAUGCACAUGACCUCUUUUUUUAGUACAUUAAAAUGUUAUGAUAUUUAUA
Long non-coding RNA from Vicia villosa (hairy vetch), 635 nucleotides. RefSeq lists it as uncharacterized. The transcript has 3 exons. NCBI's taxonomy places the organism in Eukaryota, Viridiplantae, Streptophyta, Magnoliopsida, Fabales, Fabaceae. The record is from RefSeq and is a predicted model, not a curated record.